Molecule: long non-coding RNA, 1548 nt
Organism: Zonotrichia albicollis (white-throated sparrow)
Lineage: Eukaryota; Metazoa; Chordata; Aves; Passeriformes; Passerellidae
Source: Ensembl
UCUGAAUGGAAGGAAAACUGUAGUAUUUUUUCCUUUCAGUCUCAAUUUGUUCUCAGUUUAAUUUUCAAUGCAGUAAAUAUAAGUUGUUGGACUAACACAGGCCUUUGAUACCUCUGUCCACAGUGCUACCCAGAUGAAGAGAAGCUUUCUGUCUAAGCACCUUCUCUGAGAUUUUUCAAGUUUUGAAGCUCAAUCAGUGAAAAAAAUGAUCCUGCUCAGAUUCUCAGUUCCAAAAACUGCCAGCUGAAGAGUAACAGCUGUCUGCAACCAGAAGCUGGGAAAUUUUAAUGAACAUUUGAACUGAGAUACCCAUGGCUGGUGGCUUGGAGUUUGAGCUGGACUGCAUGAUCUUCUUUAUGAUUCAGCCCAACUCCCCUUAUCUGGCUGAGUGGUCCCACCUACCGGGAAAUUUCCACAGGGAUUCAUAUGAAUUUAUCGCAACUGAACCAAGUCCUGUCAUCAUCUGCUGCAAAAGGGCUGAUCAGGUAUGUCUUGCACAGGAUUGUGGUAUUUAUUUUACUUAUGUAAGCAUGGAAUAUGUCAACUAAAAGCAGCAAAGCAGCUCUUUACAUAAAAGAAGAGCUGCUUUUAGUUGACAUAUUCCAUACAUAAAUACAGGUCCAUGUUAUAUUAGUGGGUAGCUAAUACCAAGCUGGGGCCUGAACUCAAACACCAGCUCCAUAAUUGCGCUCUAAUCUACCAGAAAACCCAGAUGUAUAUACAAGUAAGACUGGUGAUUAUUCUAAAUUCCUUGUCUCUACUGUGAAACCUGACUUAGGCAUUCCAUUUGAGGGGUUUGAGCAGAGGAAGAACCUCUCUCAUCCCAGGUUAGCACUUGUGGGAAGCAGGAAAACCAUUCCAAACCUACAAGUUCUCUGCUGCAAGUGACCUCUCAGCUGCAUUCCAGUCCUCUGGGUGGCGCCACAUGAGUGACUCCACUCCUGCCUUAUGAUAUUCUUACUGGCAGAAAGGAAUCCCAAAGUGUGACUCCACUGUCAGUGGAAGCAUCCAGGGGACCAGGAGCCUCCUGAAGUAAACCACUACACAUCCCACCUGUCCAGUGCAGACCAGUCACUUAGAUGAGAAAUCCAGUUAGGAAAACUUCCUUUUGAAAGGCAAAGAUUGGAGAUGGCUUUGAGAAAUCUCAUGUGUCAAUCAAGUGCUUAGUGUUGUGUUCAAUAGCACACAGGUGACAUACCAACCUUGAGGAGAAAAUGACAACCAUGAAGAACUAAAAUCUGUUUAGGACUCUAAAUUCAGCUGUGUUCAUUCAGCUGGUUCUCUAAUACAGACAUUUAGUUUAUUUUUCGAUAAUAGGUAAUUCCAGAAGAGAGCAAAACUGAAAGACCCUUACUAUUAUUAUGACUUCUGUUAAUAGAGUGAAAAUUGCUUCCUGUAUAUUAGCAUUAUAAUACGAAAUACAAAUAUAUUUACAUUAUCACAACUAUUCUGCACAAUUUUUUAACACAUCCAUAUCUGUUAAUACUGAAAGAGCUGAAUAACUUACUGCCUAGCCAUUAAUGCUUUCAAAUAGCUUUUCUCAUUCUC